GACGAACGCUGGCGGCGUGCUUAACACAUGCAAGUCGAACGGAAAGGCCCUGCUUGCAGGGUACUCGAGUGGCGAACGGGUGAGUAACACGUGGGUGAUCUGCCCUGCACUUCGGGAUAAGCCUGGGAAACUGGGUCUAAUACCGGAUAGGAGCCAUUUUUAGUGUGAUGGUUGGAAAGUUUUUUCGGUGUAGGAUGAGCUCGCGGCCUAUCAGCUUGUUGGUGGGGUAAUGGCCUACCAAGGCGGCGACGGGUAGCCGGCCUGAGAGGGUGGACGGCCACAUUGGGACUGAGAGACGGCCCAGACUCCUACGGGAGGCAGCAGUGGGGAAUAUUGCACAAUGGGCGCAAGCCUGAUGCAGCGACGCCGCGUGGGGGAUGACGGCCUUCGGGUUGUAAACGCCUUUCGCUAGGGACGAAGCUUUUUGUGACGGUACCUAGAUAAGAAGCACCGGCUAACUACGUG
This 465-nucleotide ribosomal RNA is filed under the name uncultured bacterium. RNAcentral's name for it is "partial 16S ribosomal RNA". It matches the Rfam family "Bacterial small subunit ribosomal RNA", at positions 28 to 507 of the family's 1533-position model. The record is from RNAcentral.